This 169-nucleotide ribosomal RNA is filed under the name uncultured rumen bacterium. RNAcentral's name for it is "partial 16S ribosomal RNA". It matches the Rfam family "Bacterial small subunit ribosomal RNA", at positions 340 to 524 of the family's 1533-position model. The record is from RNAcentral.
UACGGGAGGCAGCAGUGGGGAAUAUUGGGCAAUGGGGGAAACCCUGACCCAGCAACGCCGCGUGAGGGAAGAAGGUUUUCGGAUCGUAAACCUCUGCCCUUGGUGAAGAGUAAGAGACGGUAGCCAAGGAGGAAGCCCCGGCUAACUACGUGCCAGCAGCCGCGGUAAU